RNAcentral lists this long non-coding RNA (621 nucleotides) under Ceratitis capitata (Mediterranean fruit fly). RNAcentral describes it as "uncharacterized LOC110119076, transcript variant X1". The record is from RNAcentral. Lineage: Eukaryota; Metazoa; Arthropoda; Insecta; Diptera; Tephritidae.
CGGCCGGUGCAGUUGUUUUGAAACAAAAAUAAAAGUUUUGGACUAUCUAGAGCAGGGAGCUGGCCCAACAAAUGUGGGAAAGAGGCUUGGGCAAUCCGUAAACUCUCAAAACAAUAUUAUUUACUUGCCCGACAAAAAUUUAGAUCCUCGAUUGGCUAGCUGUAGGCAGCACCCGCAACAAACAAUGGCUUGGGCCGCUGUAACCACAGAAAAGACUGAAAAUUUACACCGUUGGAACAAGCUCAGCUCAUCUGGUAACUCUAACAGAACACGUCUUUGGCUUCAUCAUCAGUAGCGACCGCUCGUGGCGACAGAAAAAAUUGUAAGGGAAUUGAUUUUAGGUUAAAACGUGUAGUUUUGAAAUUGAGGUUGUAAGAUAUUUCGAGCUUCCUCACUCGGCUCAUCUUUCGAAUACAGAAGUAAGAAAAAAUAUUUCAGCCAAGCAAGGAAACAAUGAUGAUUUGGUGUUAAGACAUACUUGCAUUUAAAUACCUCUCAAAGGGGUUGAGCGAGUGGGCUGCUUACCGCAUAACUUUUUCAUCUCUUUUUUUCAAGUAAAUGAAUAAUUUCUAAGCCCACCGAGGCUGUUAGUUGAGGUUGUUAAGAAGUUAUUGAAAUAAA